Molecule: long non-coding RNA, 557 nt
Filed under: Phoenix dactylifera (date palm)
Lineage: Eukaryota; Viridiplantae; Streptophyta; Magnoliopsida; Arecales; Arecaceae
Description: long non-coding RNA (PDAC_LNC021184)
Source: RNAcentral
AGCCUAAAACUUUAGUCCUACAUCCUCUCAUUCACGGACGGCCCAAUAUAUUUGGAGGCCUAAGACAAAUUCAGUGAAUGAAACCUCAUUUUUUUUAAUAAUAAAAAAUUUUAAUAAGUACAAAAUACUUUAAAAAAUAAUAUGAAAAUAGAUAGCUGUUAAGUAUACUAUUUCAACAAAAAUGCAUGAUUCUAGCAAAGGUAGACAAAAAGCCUCUUUAGUUUAAUAUAAUUCUUGAAUGGAAGCAUAGAAAAGUAAUUACUCUAAAAGAAGGCUCAUGAAACUAAUUAAAUAACUGGGAUGAUGCUUGACAAUACUGUUUACCAUGUCAAGCAAGAGCAGAAUAGGAAAUGGUUAUCCCAUGGCACUUCAUGGUUCAAGUUAAAGGAAAGAGUUUGUCCAGAAAGGGACCUCCCCAUGAGAGAAAGUAGGGGCAUUAUGGAAAAUUCACUCCAUCUAAUUAAUAAAAGUCCCAUCCCACCAUCUCCCCUUCAAGUGAGUACCCAAGCAACAACUGCAACAUCACAGCACAGCAGCCAUUCCAACCCCCUCCCUCC